GGGAGGCCGGGAGGGGUCCCUGGGCGGGGAGUUGCUGCGCAUCUGUUGUGUGUGUGCGUCUGUCUGUCUGUUCAGGUCUGUUUUAGGCUGUGUCUGUCUGUCUGUCUGGGUCUGUUUCAGGCUGUGUCUGUCUGUCUGUCCGGGUCUGUUUCAGGCUGUGUCUGGGUCUGUUUCAGGCUGUGUCUGUUUCAGGCUGUGUCUGUCUGUCUGUCCGGGUCUGUUUCAGGCUGUGUCUGUCUGUCUGUCCGGGUCUGUUUCAGGCUGUAUGUGUGUCUGCUCUUUGCUUCUGCUCCUGGCUCUGUGUGUAUUUCCCGGGUCCU
RNAcentral lists this long non-coding RNA (320 nucleotides) under Homo sapiens (human). RNAcentral describes it as "HSALNT0395745". Lineage: Eukaryota; Metazoa; Chordata; Mammalia; Primates; Hominidae. The record is from RNAcentral.